RNAcentral lists this ribosomal RNA (506 nucleotides) under uncultured bacterium. Its description in RNAcentral is "partial 16S ribosomal RNA". It matches the Rfam family "Bacterial small subunit ribosomal RNA", at positions 28 to 523 of the family's 1533-position model. The record is from RNAcentral.
GAUGAACGCUAGCUACAGGCUUAACACAUGCAAGUCGAGGGGUAACGAGAGGAAGGCUUGCUUUCCUUGUCGACGACCGGCGCACGGGUGAGUAACGCGUAUCCAACCUGCCCCCAACUAGGGAAUAACCUUGCGAAAGUAAGACUAAUACCCUAUAAUUUCCUCAGAUGUCAUCUGACGAGGAAUAAAGAUUUAUCGGUUGUGGAUGGGGAUGCGUCUGAUUAGCUUGUUGGCGGGGUAACGGCCCACCAAGGCAACGAUCAGUAGGGGUUCUGGGAGGAAGGCCCCCACAAUUGGAACUGUGACACGGUCCAAACUCCUACGGGAGGCAGCAGUAAGGAAUAUUGGUCAAUGGGCGGAAGCCUGAACCAGCCAAGUAGCGUGCAGGAUGACGGCCCUAUGGGUUGUAAACUGCUUUUAUACAGGAAUAAAGCUAGCCACGUGUGGUUAUUUGUAGGUACUGUAUGAAUAAGGACCGGCUAAUUCCGUGCCAGCCGCCGCCGUAA